This 400-nucleotide ribosomal RNA is filed under the name uncultured Glomeromycotina. Its description in RNAcentral is "eukaryotic LSU rRNA". It matches the Rfam family "Eukaryotic large subunit ribosomal RNA", at positions 366 to 663 of the family's 3401-position model. The record is from RNAcentral. Lineage: Eukaryota; Fungi; Glomeromycota.
GAAAAGAACUUUGAAAAGAGAGUUAAACAGUACGUGAAAUUGUUGAUAGGGAAACGAUUGAAGUCAGUCAUGCCGGCGAGAAAUCAGCCUACAGGCUACUGUGGGUGCACUUUUUUGCAAGGCAGGUUAACAUCGAUUUUGAUCGUCAUAAAAUGAUCGGAGGAAUGUAGCUUCGAUUUAGAUCGAAGUGUUAUAGCCUUUGGUAGAUGUGACGAUUGUGAUCGAGGAUUGCAACGAAUACCCUUUGGACCCUUUGGGCUAUCCGUCUGACCUCUGGAAGUCGCUUGGGUGCCAAAAGCUUGCUUAUGGCUAUUCAAGUUGGCGGUCAACAGGCUAGAACGUGAUUAUAUUCAUUAAGGAUGUUGAUGUAAUGGCUUUAAACGACCCGUCUUGAAACACG